Molecule: long non-coding RNA, 423 nt
Organism: Prunus dulcis (almond)
Lineage: Eukaryota; Viridiplantae; Streptophyta; Magnoliopsida; Rosales; Rosaceae
Exons: 2
Source: RefSeq, a predicted model, not a curated record
UCCAACACACUACCUCUUUUCUCAUAAAAAACUUUUCAGCAUCCAAAAGCUCUCUUCAAUAUAUUAUUUCCAGUUUUUCUCUCAUCCCCUCUUUUAUCUUUGCCUUUGAAUUGAUCUAUCCAUCCAAAGAAAGAUUUGUAGAUUUCUUUCUUCUACACUACACAAUUUCUAUACAGAAGAAGACUCUAAAAGAUUAUCUGAGUAAGGAUGAGAGUGGAAGUCAAAGCUGCUAUUUGUGUACAAUUGAGCCACUUGGGAACUAAGCCCUAUUGAAGAGCCACUAAGCCAUUUGAGAUCUUUUGUUUUGUUUUGUUGAAUUGAAGUUAAAUAUGAUUUUUGUUGUUUAUGGAUCAUGUACUUCUAGUUUUUUGUUGUUGUUAGUUGAAUGAAAUUAUUCUAUUUAAGCAGGCUGUUUAUGGAUCA